Long non-coding RNA from Engraulis encrasicolus (European anchovy), 481 nucleotides. RefSeq lists it as uncharacterized. The record is from RefSeq and is a predicted model, not a curated record. Lineage: Eukaryota; Metazoa; Chordata; Actinopteri; Clupeiformes; Engraulidae. The transcript is spliced from 3 exons.
CGAGCUGUAAGCCUACCAGAAAGUGUUGCAUAUACACAACAACAUUUCUUGUAUGGCAUGAUAUACUCCUCAAUUCACAAAGACAUCAGCACAGUCUGUUGGGGAAUUAAUCUCAUCCACAUUCCCACGUGUUCAUCUCAAACAGCCUCACAUAGGCCUACCUGAGAAUGAAUCCUAUCUGAGGACUGCAGUCAAUUCUACAGCUUCUACUCAAUCACUUCCACAACCUCGACAACAGACCACGGCAGCUGAGCCAAGACGUGUGUCAGUAUGUUCCGGAACUGCCGGCGAUGACAACACGUAUAUUCAACCUCUGCCCAUCAUCACUGAGGUGCAGGCUGAGUGCCCAAAGAAACCAGCCCCUGUACCAGCAAGAUUCAGCACUGCAAGGUCAGACUCAACCAAUGACAAUCUGCCUGUUCCAAAUUGGAAAAAUCUGUGUAUUGACCCGGAUGAUUUGAAUCUACACUAUGAUGAUGAG